Molecule: ribosomal RNA, 468 nt
Filed under: uncultured bacterium
Lineage: Bacteria
Description: partial 16S ribosomal RNA
Rfam family: Bacterial small subunit ribosomal RNA
Source: RNAcentral
GACGAACGCUGGCGGCGUGCUUAACACAUGCAAGUCGAACGGAAAGGCCCUGCUUUUGUGGGGUGCUCGAGUGGCGAACGGGUGAGUAACACGUGAGUAACCUGCCCUUGACUUUGGGAUAACUUCAGGAAACUGGGGCUAAUACCGGAUAGGAGCUCCUGCUGCAUGGUGGGGGUUGGAAAGUUUCGGCGGUUGGGGAUGGACUCGCGGCUUAUCAGCUUGUUGGUGGGGUAGUGGCUUACCAAGGCUUUGGCGGGUAGCCGGCCUGAGAGGGUGACCGGCCACAUUGGGACUGAGAUACGGCCCAGACUCCUACGGGAGGCAGCAGUGGGGAAUAUUGCACAAUGGGCGGACGCCUGAUGCAGCAACGCCGCGUGCGGGAUGACGGCCUUCGGGUUGUAAACCGCUUUCGCCUGUGACGAAGCGUGAGUGACGGUAAUGGGUAAAGAAGCACCGGCUAACUACGUG